RNAcentral lists this ribosomal RNA (468 nucleotides) under uncultured bacterium. RNAcentral's name for it is "partial 16S ribosomal RNA". It matches the Rfam family "Bacterial small subunit ribosomal RNA", at positions 28 to 507 of the family's 1533-position model. The record is from RNAcentral.
GACGAACGCUGGCGGCGUGCUUAACACAUGCAAGUCGAACGGAAAGGCCCUGCUUUUGUGGGGUGCUCGAGUGGCGAACGGGUGAGUAACACGUGAGUAACCUGCCCUUGACUUUGGGAUAACUUCAGGAAACUGGGGCUAAUACCGGAUAGGAGCUCCUGCUGCAUGGUGGGGGUUGGAAAGUUUCGGCGGUUGGGGAUGGACUCGCGGCUUAUCAGCUUGUUGGUGGGGUAGUGGCUUACCAAGGCUUUGACGGGUAGCCGGCCUGAGAGGGUGACCGGCCACAUUGGGACUGAGGUACGGCCCAGAAUCCUACGGGAGGCAGCAGUGGGGAGUAUUGCACAAUGGGCGGAAGCCUGAUGCAGCAACGCCGCGUGCGGGAUGACGGCCUUCGGGUUGUAAACCGCUUUCGCCUGUGACGAAGCGUGAGUGACGGUAAUGGGUAAAGAAGCACCGGCUAACUACGUG